AUACGUAGGGGGCAAACGUUGCUCGGAAUUACUGGGCGUAAAGGGUGCGCAGGUGGCUGAGAAAGUCGUUGAUGAAAUCCCGGGGCUUACCCCCGGAACUGUCUUCGAUACUUCUCAGCUUGAGGAUAGUCGAGGAGAACGGAAUUCCCGGUGGAGCGGUGAAAUGCGUAGAUAUCGGGAGGAACACCAGAGGCGAAGGCGGUUCUCUAGGCUAAUCCUGACACUGAGGUACGAAAGCUAGGGGAGCGAACGGGAUUAGAUACCCCGGUAGUCCUAGCUGUAAACGAUGGGCACUAGAUGUUUCCGCGUCUCAGCGGGAGUGUCGAAGUUAACGCGAUAAGUGCCCCGCCUGGGGAUUACGGUCGCAAGGCUGAA
Molecule: ribosomal RNA, 375 nt
Filed under: uncultured bacterium
Lineage: Bacteria
Description: bacterial SSU rRNA
Rfam family: Bacterial small subunit ribosomal RNA
Source: RNAcentral